Molecule: transfer RNA, 93 nt
Rfam family: tRNA
About the family: Transfer RNA (tRNA) molecules are approximately 80 nucleotides in length.
GUUCCCAUCGAUUAGUGGUCAGAUCAUCACGUUGUGGUCUACUUCCCAAGUAGCAAAACCGUGGAGACGGGGGCUCGACUCCCCCUGGGAACA